GAUGAACGCUGGCGGCGUGCCUAAUACAUGCAAGUCGAGCGAACAGACGAGGAGCUUGCUCCUCUGACGUUAGCGGCGGACGGGUGAGUAACACGUGGAUAACCUACCUAUAAGACUGGAAUAACUUCGGGAAACCGGAGCUAAUACCGGAUAACAUGUUGAACCGCAUGGUUCGACAGUGAAAGACGGUUUUGCUGUCACUUAUAGAUGGAUCCGCGCCGCAUUAGCUAGUUGGUAAGGUAACGGCUUACCAAGGCAACGAUGCGUAGCCGACCUGAGAGGGUGAUCGGCCACACUGGAACUGAGACACGGUCCAGACUCCUACGGGAGGCAGCAGUAGGGAAUCUUCCGCAAUGGGCGAAAGCCUGACGGAGCAACGCCGCGUGAGUGAAGAAGGUCUUCGGAUCGUAAAACUCUGUUAUUAGGGAAGAACAAAUGUGUAAGUAACUAUGCACGUCUUGACGGUACCUAAUCAGAAAGCCACGGCUAACUACGUG
RNAcentral lists this ribosomal RNA (497 nucleotides) under uncultured bacterium. Its description in RNAcentral is "partial 16S ribosomal RNA". It matches the Rfam family "Bacterial small subunit ribosomal RNA", at positions 28 to 507 of the family's 1533-position model. The record is from RNAcentral.